AUCCAGAUGACUAGUCCCAAAUAGGACGAAACGCGUGUCCUGGAU
This 45-nucleotide non-coding RNA is filed under the name Schistosoma mattheei. The record is from RNAcentral. Lineage: Eukaryota; Metazoa; Platyhelminthes; Trematoda; Strigeidida; Schistosomatidae.